AUCCACCUGCCUCGGCCUCCCAAAGUGCUGAGAUUACAGGCAUGAGCCACUGUGCCUGGUCCCACUGAUUUUUUAUAGCUUCUAAUUUUCUGUUGAAAUUCUCCCACUCCUUAUCUUUUGCUUUACUUUCUUUUAUCGAUCAAUCUAAGUAUUUUAAAGUCUGAGUAUCCUGUAGAACUCUCUCUAAGUCAUUAUCUCUAUCUUACCAGUAGGGAAACUAAAAAAUUUCAUGAAGAAUAAAAUCCAUUGUACAAUGCGUAAUAUAGUCAAAGAUCUUGAAAAAGAAUUGGUGUCUAAACCAUUAUUUUUCACUUUUAAUCAAUAAACAUUAUUCCUCUUUAGAGGAGGUAAAAAAACCCAUAUAAAAUAUACUGAAAAUAAAUUUCAUUAAACAUUAAAUGAUGAAUAGUUCUAAAUCUAUCUUCUUUGCAUUCAUUAACUAGCACUUCAGAGCAAAAAUAAUGGUAGCUUUUGUUAUGGCUUCAUAUUUCUUUAAAAUAUUGACUUAAAAUAGAUUUUCAAUCUGGGGAAUAGAUAAGAACUAAUGCCAUUUGGUUUUAAAUAGAAUUGUGUUGUAAUCCUCAAGCUAAAGGCAUAGCAAAAAAAAAAAAAAUGACAACAUCACUGGAAAUUUGCCUCAGUCUACUUACUGUUCACCAUUUAAUUAGACACUUUUUAAUUCUGGCAGAAAGUCUAAGGAAUUCAUGGAUCCACCUUCUAAGCACAUCAAGGAGUGUUAAUACACUGGACAGUUAGAACAAUGGCAGCAGAACAUCUUAUUUAAACUCUUGACAUAAUAAAAUAAUUUUUUCUUGUUUUGGUAAUAAUAUCAUUAAUACUUUACAGUUGUGGCAUACUACAAUGUUAAAGAUUCAAUUAAGCAAGAGAGCACCAUAAUACACUUUAAAUAAGACUGCUAUAACUUUCACAGGCACGGUUUCAAACAAGACUAGUCAACCCUCAUUAUUCAUUAGGACUACUUCAUAUAAGUCAGCUUACCAAUAAGUAGCAUUUUACAAAAGCCUCUUAUCUACUGACUUACCAUAUAGGUCUUAGGAAAAAUGUUUUAUUUUUGAAUAGUUAUAUGGAUACUAUAAAGAUGGUGACUGUUUAUCACUAUGUUGUGAAAUUUCUUGCCUUCCUUCAAUUUUUUUUUUAAGUGGAGAAAUGAUUUUCUAAAAAGUCUGAGUCUUCUAAGCAUAGCUCAUCUCCUGGUAAAAAUUGCAGUGCUCCAUUAGUUAAUAAUGCCAUCGCAAGCCGUCCUUUUCUCUCUUCUAAUGUACCAUACAAACAAAAUUUGUGCAAGUCAAAGAGCAGGGCAAAGUUUUCAUACUUCAUAGAGCUUUAAGUAAGUUUAUUUCAUAGAACUGUGGGAGUGCCAGCCAAAGAGCUUCCAGUAUGAAACUUUCAGUUGCCUUUAUGGAGAUGGCCACUGGCAGCCUACCACCUUGGUCAUGCUCCCGUGGGCAGGCAGGGAGAAGGCAGCUUGCGCAGACAGCACAGAAAAAAGGCCUUUGGAUAGAGGCGACUUCCCAGGCUCGUGAGCUGCAAGAGCCAGGCGCUCCAGUAGCACAGAGCCCGGAAAUCGGGCACGCAGUCGGAGCGUGCGUGCAGGCACAGGAAGUGACGCAGAGUUGAUGCGUCAGGCUUAGGCUCAGACUGCAGUGACAGCAGCUGCGUUCAGGUCUUCUCGAGUUCCUGAAGGAUGGAGCCUGGGUUUUUUUUUUUUUUUUUUAAUUUAUUUCUAAAUUUCCCCCCUUUUCCCUCUGUGUUGGUCAUUUGCUGUUGUUAUUUUUGACAUGUUUUAUAAUUUUCAGUCGGUUUUCAGAAUAUAGAUAGCAUACUGUACAUUCUCUAUAUGAUGUUCCCACGAAAGUGCUGUUUUUAUUUUUUAGUUAUAAAGCACUUCAGUGAAUGACUUUGAUCCAGUUGAGACUUAGUUUUAAGCUUUGUUAUACUUGACCUUUUUAAUUUGCUACUUACAGGAUGUGACCAUUAAUCUUAGAAAGUAGCUUUGCCCAAGUCCUGGACCUAGGUUUAGCACGCUCCCUCUGGAUUUAAUUCUAAUCUCUAACUCCUCAGUGCCAUUCAGCUGCUGAAAUCUCUGCUCAGCAUUCAAGCUUUCUGUUUGCUGUUUCCCACUACAUAUCUUGAAGGCUUGCCUUGUACAUGCACAAGUCAGAAAUUUACCCACAAUUUGAGGGAAAUUAGGAUGCAGAUUUGGGGACACUCUCUUAGCUUCCUGUCUUUUUCAAUAGUUUGCUCCUCAAAUCACAGCUCCUUUGGCGUCCUGAAACGCCAGACUUUGUCUCCUCUGACGUGUGAAACUCCUGCUUUCUUCUUGGGCUCUUUUCGCCUUCACCACAACUUGGAAAAUGCCCCCAGGAAAAUUCCGAGGUUCUCAGGGUGGCAGAUGAGGAAGAAGGUGGAGAACAGGAUAGAAAUGAAAUUUUGAGAAGGGAGUCCAGCCUAGAAGGUAGGAUCCUGUAAGUCCCUUGACUGCUAGGCCAUUGUAUAUCAUUUUAACUGCUACUUCCAAAGUGUUUUCACAAUGUCUCUCACAUGAUAGUUGCUCCAAAAA
This 2581-nucleotide long non-coding RNA is filed under the name Homo sapiens (human). Its description in RNAcentral is "HSALNT0323173". Lineage: Eukaryota; Metazoa; Chordata; Mammalia; Primates; Hominidae. The record is from RNAcentral.